GGUAUGGGAUGAGCUUGCGUCCGAUUAGCUAGUUGGCGGGGCAACGGCCCACCAAGGCGACGAUCGGUAGCCGGCCUGAGAGGGUGAUCGGCCACAUUGGGACUGAGAUACGGCCCAGACUCCUACGGGAGGCAGCAGUAGGGAAUAUUGCACAAUGGGGGAAACCCUGAUGCAGCAACGCCACGUGUGGGAAGAAGCAUUUCGGUGUGUAAACCACUGUCAUGAGGGAAUGAGGCCUAUUUUCGGAUAGGAUUGAAUGUACCUUGAGAGGAAGCACCGGCAAACUUCGUGCCAGCAGCCGCGGUAAUACGAGGGGUGCAAGCGUUGUUCGGAAUUACUGGGCGUAAAGGGAACGUAGGCGGAGAUUCAAGCGGAUUGUACAAUCCCGGGGCCCAACCCCGGCUCUGCAGUCCGAACUGGAUCUCUUGGAUAGUUCAGGGGCAGGC
This 446-nucleotide ribosomal RNA is filed under the name uncultured bacterium. Its description in RNAcentral is "bacterial SSU rRNA". It matches the Rfam family "Bacterial small subunit ribosomal RNA", at positions 217 to 662 of the family's 1533-position model. The record is from RNAcentral.